RNAcentral lists this unclassified non-coding RNA (242 nucleotides) under Hevea brasiliensis (rubber tree). The record is from RNAcentral. Lineage: Eukaryota; Viridiplantae; Streptophyta; Magnoliopsida; Malpighiales; Euphorbiaceae.
GGCACAGAAUGUGAAGCAAAGUAAGUACUCUUUUUAACCGCUUACUUUUACUAUGCAGCUCAAGUUUUGAAGCCUAUGUAUGGGGAUAUGCUGUUUCAAGCAUUUCAUGAAACUUUUACUUAUAAGCAUUUAUCAAGAUAUCUUUUUUGCUUUCCUAUUUGACACUUGUCUAUGCAUUACUACAAAAGGAACAAUAAUAAUUUAAGUUAUUUGAUGACCUAUUAGCAUAAAUCAAUUAAAAU